UACAGAGGUCCCAAGCGUUGUUCGGAUUCACUGGGCGUAAAGGGUGCGUAGGUGGCGAGGUAAGUCGGAUGUGAAAGCUCGGAGCUCAACUCCGAAAUGGCAUUGGAAACUACCUUGCUCGAGGGUUGGAGGGGGGACUGGAAUUCUCGGUGUAGCAGUGAAAUGCGUAGAUAUCGAGAGGAGCACCAGUGGCGAAGGCGAGUCCCUGGACAACUCCUGACACUGAGGCACGAAAGCUAGGGGAGCAAACAGG
RNAcentral lists this ribosomal RNA (253 nucleotides) under uncultured bacterium. Its description in RNAcentral is "partial 16S ribosomal RNA". It matches the Rfam family "Bacterial small subunit ribosomal RNA", at positions 524 to 776 of the family's 1533-position model. The record is from RNAcentral.